GUGGCAUUGAUUUAUUCAGUUGGUAAAGAAGGUUGUUGAUCUCAAUCAGGAACUGAACAUUAGGAUAUUGCCGACUCCAAGGAUCCAUAAUAGGCACCGAAUCACGUCCAUCGUGAUUCUUCUGUUCUGCCUUCCUUAGUAAAGCAACAAUUGAAUGCACUGUCAUUUACUCUUGCAUUGCUUAGGGAUCCUAUGUCAUGAUACUCCUACCCUUCUCUAUCUUGAACUCCGUCAGUAUCUCCGAAAUUAGUAACUUCAGUCAUCAAUAUCUGGAGCCACAUUAAUCAGGAAGUGACAUCUCAGCACAAAAGAAAACACUGAAUGCGAGAACAGUACUAAAGCAAAUAUACAUUAAAAUGAAAGACGUUGCAAAUAAAUUAUUUUGUUGUGUGAUCAGCUUUUUGUAACCACAGACUCAGUAGUAUUCCCACUUUCUAAAGAACAUAAUUCUUAACAUUCUGACUGUAUAUUUACUACAGCUUUCCUGGCAAUUGAUAACUGAACUAAUACAAAUUAACUUAGUUUUAAUAUUUCACUUUUUGAUGUUUGCUCAUGCUCCUCAGAUUUUUCCACCCUGCAGUGCUGGGCAUUAUGCACUGACUGAAAGAAUAAAUG
This is a non-coding RNA of Chiloscyllium plagiosum (whitespotted bambooshark), 615 nucleotides long. Lineage: Eukaryota; Metazoa; Chordata; Chondrichthyes; Orectolobiformes; Hemiscylliidae. The record is from RefSeq and is a predicted model, not a curated record.